UGCAUAUCAAUAAGCGGAGGAAAAGAAACCAACAGGGAUUGCCUCAGUAACGGCGAGUGAAGCGGCAAAAGCUCAAAUUUGAAAUCUGGUACCUUUGGUGCCCGAGUUGUAAUUUGAAGAUAGUUUUCUGGUGCUGGCCCUUGUCUAUGUUCCUUGGAACAGGACGUCACAGAGGGUGAGAAUCCCGUCUGGCGGGGUGUCCAGUGCUUUGUAGAUUUCUAUCGACGAGUCGAGUUGUUUGGGAAUGCAGCUCUAAGUGGGUGGUAAAUUCCAUCUAAAGCUAAAUAUUGGCGAGAGACCGAUAGCGAACAAGUACAGUGAUGGAAAGAUGAAAAGAACUUUGAAAAGAGAGUGAAAAAGUACGUGAAAUUGUUGAAAGGGAAGGGUAUUAGAUCAGACUUGGUGUUUUGUGAUUAUCUUCCCUUCUUGGGUUGUGCACUCGCAUUUCACUGGGCCAGCAUCGGUUCGGGUGGUAAGAUAAUGACAUUGGAACGUGGCACUGCCUUCGGGUGGUGUGUUAUAGCCCUUGUUGAUGUUGCCUACCUGGACCGAGGACUGCGGCUUUUGCCUAGGAUGCUGGCGUAAUGAUCUAACACCCCCGUCUUGAAACA
This 611-nucleotide ribosomal RNA is filed under the name Williopsis suaveolens. RNAcentral's name for it is "LSU rRNA". It matches the Rfam family "Eukaryotic large subunit ribosomal RNA", at positions 37 to 661 of the family's 3401-position model. The record is from RNAcentral. Lineage: Eukaryota; Fungi; Ascomycota; Saccharomycetes; Phaffomycetales; Wickerhamomycetaceae.